AUUGAACGCUGGCGGCAUGCUUUACACAUGCAAGUCGAACGGUAACAGGCCUUCGGGUGCUGACGAGUGGCGAACGGGUGAGUAAUGCAUCGGAACGUACCCAGAGGUGGGGGAUAACGCAGCGAAAGCUGUGCUAAUACCGCAUGUGAUCUGAGGAUGAAAGCGGGGACCGGAUAGGAACGUUUGGCCUCCCCCCUUUGGAUACGCCCGGUGUCGAAUUGCCUGGUUGGUGGGGUAAAGGCCUACCAAGGCGACGAUCCGUAGCGGGUCUGAGAGGACGACCAGCCACACUGGGACUGAGACACGGCCCAGACUCCUACGGGAGGCAGCAGUGGGGAAUUUUGGACAAUGGGCGCAAGCCUGAUCCAGCAAUGCCGCGUGCGGGAAGAAGGCCUUCGGGUUGUAAACCGCUUUUGGCAGGAACGAAACGGUGUCCGCUAAUACCGGGCGCUAAUGACGGUACCUGCAGAAUAAGCACCGGCUAACUACGUG
Molecule: ribosomal RNA, 492 nt
Filed under: uncultured bacterium
Lineage: Bacteria
Description: partial 16S ribosomal RNA
Rfam family: Bacterial small subunit ribosomal RNA
Source: RNAcentral